AGUGAACGCUAGCGGUAGGCCUAACACAUGCAAGUCGAACGGCAGCACAGGAGAGCUUGCUCUCUGGGUGGCGAGUGGCGGACGGGUGAGGAAUACAUCGGAAUCUACUCUGUCGUGGGGGAUAACGUAGGGAAACUUACGCUAAUACCGCAUACGACCUACGGGUGAAAGCAGGGGACCUUCGGGCCUUGAGCGAUUGAAUGAGCCGAUGUAGGAUGAGCUAGUUGGCGGGGUAAAGGCCUACCAAGGCGACGAUCCGUAGCUGGUCUGAGAGGAUGAUCAGCCACACUGGAACUGAGACACGGUCCAGACUCCUACGGGAGGCAGCAGUGGGGAAUAUUGGACAAUGGGCGCAAGCCUGAUCCAGCCAUACCGCGUGGGUGAAGAAGGCCUUCGGGUUGUAAAGCCCUUUUGUUGGGAAAGAAAUCCAGCUGGCUAAUACCCGGUUGGGAUGACGGUACCCAAAGAAUAAGCACCGGCUAACUUCGUGCCAGCAGCCGCAGUAA
This 506-nucleotide ribosomal RNA is filed under the name uncultured bacterium. RNAcentral's name for it is "partial 16S ribosomal RNA". It matches the Rfam family "Bacterial small subunit ribosomal RNA", at positions 29 to 523 of the family's 1533-position model. The record is from RNAcentral.